RNAcentral lists this ribosomal RNA (1343 nucleotides) under uncultured bacterium. RNAcentral's name for it is "16S ribosomal RNA". It matches the Rfam family "Bacterial small subunit ribosomal RNA", at positions 28 to 1378 of the family's 1533-position model. The record is from RNAcentral.
GACGAACGCUGGCGGCGUGCUUAACACAUGCAAGUCGAACGGAAAGGCCCUGCUUUUGUGGGGUGCUCGAGUGGCGAACGGGUGAGUAACACGUGAGUAACCUGCCCUUGACUUUGGGAUAACUUCAGGAAACUGGGGCUAAUACCGGAUAGGAGCUCCUGCUGCAUGGUGGGGGUUGGAAAGUUUCGGCGGUUGGGGAUGGACUCGCGGCUUAUCAGCUUGUUGGUGGGGUAGUGGCUUACCAAGGCUUUGACGGGUAGCCGGCCUGAGAGGGUGACCGGCCACAUUGGGACUGAGAUACGGCCCAGACUCCUACGGGAGGCAGCAGUGGGGAAUAUUGCACAAUGGGCGGAAGCCUGAUGCAGCAACGCCGCGUGCGGGAUGACGGCCUUCGGGUUGUAAACCGCUUUCGCCUGUGACGAAGCGUGAGUGACGGUAAUGGGUAAAGAAGCACCGGCUAACUACGUGCCAGCAGCCGCGGUGAUACGUAGGGUGCGAGCGUUGUCCGGAUUUAUUGGGCGUAAAGGGCUCGUAGGUGGUUGAUCGCGUCGGAAGUGUAAUCUUGGGGCUUAACCCUGAGCGUGCUUUCGAUACGGGUUGACUUGAGGAAGGUAGGGGAGAAUGGAAUUCCUGGUGGAGCGGUGGAAUGCGCAGAUAUCAGGAGGAACACCAGUGGCGAAGGCGGUUCUCUGGGCCUUUCCUGACGCUGAGGAGCGAAAGCGUGGGGAGCGAACAGGCUUAGAUACCCUGGUAGUCCACGCUGUAAACGGUGGGUACUAGGUGUGGGGUCCAUUCCACGGGUUCCGUGCCGUAGCUAACGCUUUGAGUACCCCGCCUGGGGAGUACGGCCGCAAGGCUAAAACUCAAAGGAAUUGACGGGGCCCCCCACAAGCGGCGGAGCAUGCGGAUUAAUUCGAUGCAACGCGUAGAACCUUACCUGGGUUUGACAUGGAUCGGGAGUGCUCAGAGAUGGGUGUGCCUCUUUUGGGGUCGGUUCACAGGUGGUGCAUGGCUGUCGUCAGCUCGUGUCGUGAGAUGUUGGGUUAAGUCCCGCAACGAGCGCAACCCUUGUUCACUGUUGCCAGCACGUUAUGGUGGGGACUCAGUGGAGACCGCCGGGGUCAACUCGGAGGAAGGUGGGGAUGACGUCAAGUCAUCAUGCCCCUUAUGUCCAGGGCUUCACGCAUGCUACAAUGGCUGGUACAGAGAGUGGCGAGCCUGUGAGGGUGAGCGAAUCUCGGAAAGCCGGUCUCAGUUCGGAUUGGGGUCUGCAACUCGACCUCAUGAAGUCGGAGUCGCUAGUAAUCGCAGAUCAGCAACGCUGCGGUGAAUACGUUCCCGGG